GAUGAACGCUGGCGGCGUGCUUAACACAUGCAAGUCGAGCGAGAAGUUUUGAAAAGAUUCUUCGGAUGAAAUUUAAAAUGGAAAGCGGCGGACGGGUGAGUAACGCGUAGGCAACCUGCCCCAUACAAAGGGAUAGCAUUUGGAAACGAAUAUUAAUACCUUAUGAAACUUAACUAGUGCAUGCUAGGUAGGUCAAAGAUUUAUCGGUAUGGGAUGGGCCUGCGUCUGAUUAGCUAGUUGGUGAGGUAACGGCUCACCAAGGCGACGAUCAGUAGCCGACCUGAGAGGGUGAACGGCCACAUUGGAACUGAGACACGGUCCAAACUCCUACGGGAGGCAGCAGUGGGGAAUAUUGCACAAUGGGGGAAACCCUGAUGCAGCAACGCCGCGUGAACGAUGAAGGCCUUUGGGUCGUAAAGUUCUGUUCUAGGUGAUGAAAACUGACAGUAA
RNAcentral lists this ribosomal RNA (450 nucleotides) under [Eubacterium] brachy. RNAcentral describes it as "bacterial SSU rRNA". It matches the Rfam family "Bacterial small subunit ribosomal RNA", at positions 28 to 478 of the family's 1533-position model. Lineage: Bacteria; Bacillati; Bacillota; Clostridia; Peptostreptococcales; Anaerovoracaceae. The record is from RNAcentral.